Molecule: unclassified non-coding RNA, 2179 nt
Filed under: Hevea brasiliensis (rubber tree)
Lineage: Eukaryota; Viridiplantae; Streptophyta; Magnoliopsida; Malpighiales; Euphorbiaceae
Source: RNAcentral
AUCUUGUUCUAUUCUUUUCUCACCCAAUCUCAUUGUUUGUCUUAAGUUCUUUGAGAAUUCUGUUUCAAUUUCCUUCCUUGAGAUUGAUUCAGACCUGUUACUUUACAUAGUACUACUACCCUGAAUUGUUCCUUUUCGUUUUCUACUAUCAAUUUCUGGCGUCACAUCUUCCUCUCCCUCAUUUUCACUAAUUCCUAUAAGUUCAACAUUCUCAAAAUUAGACAGUCUUUCCGUAUUCGUAGCUAAUUUCAGCUCUCUUCUUUUAAUAAUGAAUUCUUGAAUUUGAAUCCUCACAUCUUUUGGAUUUUGGGAAUCGAAUCAUAUUUUUAUAACCUCUAGCAAGUGUUGAUUCUAUUGACUCCCCCUUUAUAAAAUUUCAAACAAUAGUUGCAUUGAAGAUCAUUAGUAUUAUUUUUUCACUAAUUUGUUUUAUAUGUUCCCAUAUUGGGUCCAUUCAUAUACUGCCAAUAGAAUAUACAAUUAUAUUACUCUUAUUACCCAUCUAACAAAAAAAACUAAAAAGAAACAAAGUAAUACCCAUCUAAAAGAAAGAAAAAAAAAUGCACGUGCUGUUGCCUGCUGGAGUGCAGCUGGAGUGAGAGAAGAGAAGAAGAGGAAAGGAGAGAAGGAGGAGAGAAGAUAAUAAAAGAAUUAAAAAGAAAUGGAAAUAAAGAAAAAAUACGUGCUGUGCAGGUGCUGCUGGAGUGCUGCUGGCGUGAGAGAAGAGAAGAAGAGGAGAGGAGAAGAGAGAGAGAGGAGAGACAUACCUUGUUAGUUUGUAGUCUGAUGGAGGAGUGCUGCUGCUGGUGGCGUGAACUGAUGGAGAGAUUAGGGUUCUUUUAAAAAUCCCAUCUGUUUGCUGAAUUAAAAAAAAAAAAAAAUUAACGUUAAUAAGCUGAGGCAGUGCCUCAACUUCUUUUGUCCUGGGCUCUCGCCUCUCUCCACCUGGACACAGCCUUGCCUCUUGCCUGGCCCAGCACCUUUUCUCGCCUUUGAUAACACUAAUUUCAUUACCGUACUUUUAUAUCUACAACUCUAGCAAGGUGUCUGAGUCCUGUUCUAAGAUCCAUAGAGCUGUACCUAACACGCUAUAGCUGGCCUGCAUCAAUAUCAGCCUUGGUAAUAUGCUGAUGCUAUAUAUGGAUUCAUGAGUAUAGAUUUAUGAGAUCAUUGGUUCAUAACUUCAUGUAAGUAUUUAGAUAAACUUCAUUUGCUUUUGCUGUAUCUGCAACUUCAUUUGCGGAUGUUCCUUUGUUCCAGAUGCUUUUUAUUCAUAUACGACACUUACAUCUUUUGUUGUAGACAUGAGUAGCGAAUCCAUUGUCAUAUAGAAGAUAAUUUCCUUAGAGUUAGCUAUAUGCAUUUCAAUAUGGAACUGCAAAAGCUUGUGUGUUGUUUGUAAUAGAAGUUGAAGUGACCCCUGUAUUAAUGAUUUAUGAUUCAUUUAGUUCUCUUUUUUUAUUUUAAGUAUGAAUAAUACGUUUGCUUAGAUAAUGCCUGACAAAAGGAAGAUGUCAUAUGUCAUCCAAAAUCUAUCUUAUUUGGGAUUUGAAGUAUAUAACCCAUCGAAAAUAUUUUUUGAUAUUGCUUUUGCAUUCGCUCUCAUGGUUCAGUUCGGUAGGUUUGAAUUAAAAAUUUCUAGUAAAGUCUGCCUUGGAGUAACGCAAACCGAACAAAAUUAAGUAAUAAUGUAAUUCAACUUAACCCAACCUAGUCAAUUUUUAUUUGGGUAGUCGGUUUGGAGAAUUUGGAUUAUUUUAAAGAUUUAAGAUUGUUAAACUCUAUAUGUAAUUUAAGCCUUAUUUUCAAAAGUUAAUGUUCUAAUUUUAAAAUCCCUUAUAUUCAUUUUUAGAACUUGACUGUACUUCUUUUGAAAAUGAUAACAUAGGUGGUGAAAAUGUAGAAUGUAGUUUUAUGAGAAAAAGCACAGUGCAGCAUAUAUAAAAUAUACAAUUUUGUCAUUAGUAUUGGGUUAGUUUAAUAGUGUAAUAAAUCAAUGACCAGACCCAAUUUGUCAGUUUGCAAUUUGAAUAUCUUUUGCAACUGAAACGCAUCGCACUAUUUCUGAAACCAAUAUAUUUCGAUUGGAUUGGGUAGGAUCUAGUUGGUUUUAAUGAUUUGGUUGGUUUUGGUUCGCCCCUAAUUUGCAUCAUGCGUGCAGGUACAUUUUAGCAUUUGC